Serinus canaria (Common canary) is the source of this 1627-nucleotide long non-coding RNA. RefSeq lists it as uncharacterized. NCBI's taxonomy places the organism in Eukaryota, Metazoa, Chordata, Aves, Passeriformes, Fringillidae. The transcript is spliced from 4 exons. The record is from RefSeq and is a predicted model, not a curated record.
AGCCUCUGGGGCUGUUUUCUUUGGAAGCCCUGUAUCUGCAAGCAGAAAUGCUGUCUGGAGAAGCAGUGUGCUUCAGGAAUGUGUUACCUGGGCUGCCACUGGACAGGAUUAAGGAAGAAAGACCUAGGAGAAGCAGGAUUGGUUGAACAAAUGCUCUACACUUGUCUUCCAGCCAGGUAGUGCAACAGAGGGAGUGAAACUGAGAUUUUAUUAUAUAUGGAGGAUGGACUCCAACAGAGAGAGUAUCAGUGAGUGCUCAGCCUCUCAGAGUUCCCUCUGGACUUGUGGUCCUCGGUGUCACCAAGGUCUAAGAGAGUCAACAACACUGUGAGAGUGCCAGGAGGGGCCCAGGGGACCAAGACAUAAGUGGCUUCGAGUGGAACUACUUGCACGUUGUGAUGAGAACCCAUUUAGUUCCUUGCACAACAUACUUUAGAUUUCUCCUUUCCUUUGAGGAGGUGGGGGAGGGUGAAAAGCCAUCGAGCUGUGGUUCCUUAUGCAGAUUACCCCUAAGGAGGUGAUAAGCAAUCAUCCAGGCUCCAUAUGAAAUGUGAUUAGAUGUUCCUGAAAGUGGAUACAUCAUUUACAUUUCGUCUGGUUGCUAUAAAAAACCCCUCUAUUGAUGCUGCAGCCAUCCAGCCCGAUGCUGCCUGCUGCACUGCUCACCAGUCCCCCUGCUGCAGCCUGACAUCUCCACUUUGCUCUGUGAUUUUGCUUUUUCAGUUCUAGCUCCUGCCCUGUUUCCCCUUAACUGCCCAAGCAAGAUGUGAAAAUCCAGGUCAAUGGCAGCAGCAACUGCCAGGGACUGAGACAGAUGGCUCGGGCUCCUCUCAGGUGUGCUAGUGGAGCACUAACCCUGAUGGGCUAAGCCUUCUGCUUCCUUGCUUUUCCUCCCCUGCAUUCCCACAGCUGCCAGCACCUUGAGGAAAUGACAUUUUUCAGCUGAAUGGAGCACCUAAAAUGCAGAAGCUGCAAAGAGCAAAAUGUGUCCUGGCUGUUUGUGUGAGCUGGGAGGAGCUGGUUUGAGGUUCUGCCCUGGGGAGAGUCUGGUGUGUAUCUUUGUGCUCCCAUCCCAGGCUCCUAGGAAAAUGGUGCUUCAUGUGUAACAGACAUUUUCCAGCUACCUGGCCACUGUGUGGACUUCAGAAUGUGAAAAAUGCCUAUUUUAUGAUUGGCUUUUCGCAAUUAUUAAAAUGAAUAUUAGAUGUGUUGUGUUAGGAAGUGAUGCUGUAUUAAUUCUCUUCAGUAGUGUGUUAAAUAUAGUUUUAGGUUAUAAAAAAUGUAAAAAUGGUAACUAUGCUAUGUAGGAUACUUUUUUUAAAGAAAGGACUUGCAGGGAGAUAGCAGCCACAGGACACCUCAAUCUUUCACAGAAAAAGAAUUUAUUGCUGCAUUAUCAGAAGAAAUGAACUUCUUCCCACCUGGAAGGUGCUGUUGGGGUUAGGAGGGAGAAGCUGAGGAUGCCCAGACAGAAUCCUGUGUUUGAAUGGAAUUUAUGCACCAUGUAUGAGGUGUAUGAAUAUGCAACAGGCUGUUGCUUUUAAGGGUUAAUCCUCUGUUAACUAUGUCCUUUUUUGGGCUUGUGCUGCCCAGAAAAGGUACCUGGACUGUCCAUAACUCUUUGUUU